AGGAAAGCUAAACCCUACGCCAGCGCGGGC
RNAcentral lists this small RNA (30 nucleotides) under Bombyx mori (domestic silkworm). RNAcentral describes it as "ovarian small RNA-12159". The record is from RNAcentral. Lineage: Eukaryota; Metazoa; Arthropoda; Insecta; Lepidoptera; Bombycidae.